Molecule: ribosomal RNA, 430 nt
Filed under: uncultured bacterium
Lineage: Bacteria
Description: partial 16S ribosomal RNA
Rfam family: Bacterial small subunit ribosomal RNA
Source: RNAcentral
GUGGGGAAUAUUGCACAAUGGGCGGAAGCCUGAUGCAGCAACGCCGCGUGCGGGAUGACGGCCUUCGGGUUGUAAACCGCUUUCGCCUGUGACGAAGCGUGAGUGACGGUAAUGGGUAAAGAAGCACCGGCUAACUACGUGCCAGCAGCCGCGGUGAUACGUAGGGUGCGAGCGUUGUCCGGAUUUAUUGGGCGUAAAGGGCUCGUAGGUGGUUGAUCGCGUCGGAAGUGUAAUCUUGGGGCUGAACCCUGAGCGUGCUUUCGAUACGGGUUGACUUGAGGAAGGUAGGGGAGAAUGGAAUUCCUGGUGGAGCGGUGGAAUGCGCAGAUAUCAGGAGGAACACCAGUGGCGAAGGCGGUUCUCUGGGCCUUUCCUGACGCUGAGGAGCGAAAGCGUGGGGAGCGAACAGGCUUAGAUACCCCUGUAGUCC